AUGUGGAACCCUGAGCCCCUCAGUCAGAAGUUCUGGCUUCUGGUCCCUGUUCUGGGAUGGACCAUUCGUGUCUUUCCAUGUUAUGUCUCCUCCACAAGUGAAGAUCCAGAGAUUACCAAUAUUUGUGCCUCGCUCCCACUUCACGUUGCUCCAGGGUUGCAUGUGUAUGUGCUGGUGUCUCUACCUGGAACACUGUUCAUUUCCUCCAGACAGAAGCCAACCUCCCCAGUCUCCCUCAUCCAUACCUCCACCAACAACCGUAUGGGCUCCCCUACCUGCUUUCACAAACUUACCCACUGCCUGAGACCAGGGGAAGGAUUUUUCCUCCUUUGGGACCACGGACCCAUUUAGUCAUGCUUCAAUACAUACAAUAAAGUGUAUGAGCAAGGAGAACA
Molecule: long non-coding RNA, 395 nt
Filed under: Felis catus (domestic cat)
Lineage: Eukaryota; Metazoa; Chordata; Mammalia; Carnivora; Felidae
Description: lncRNA (ENSFCAG00000052695.1)
Source: RNAcentral